Molecule: transfer RNA, 90 nt
Filed under: Hyphomicrobiales bacterium
Lineage: Bacteria; Pseudomonadati; Pseudomonadota; Alphaproteobacteria; Hyphomicrobiales
Also listed under: 2 other names
Description: tRNA-Ser
Rfam family: tRNA
About the family: Transfer RNA (tRNA) molecules are approximately 80 nucleotides in length.
Source: RNAcentral
GGAGAGGUGGCCGAGUGGUUUAAGGCAGCGGUCUUGAAAACCGCCGUGCGGGCAACCGUACCGUGGGUUCGAAUCCCACCUUCUCCGCCA